RNAcentral lists this ribosomal RNA (254 nucleotides) under uncultured bacterium. Its description in RNAcentral is "partial 16S ribosomal RNA". It matches the Rfam family "Bacterial small subunit ribosomal RNA", at positions 524 to 776 of the family's 1533-position model. The record is from RNAcentral.
UACGGAGGGUGCAAGCGUUAUCCGGAUUCACUGGGUUUAAAGGGCGCGUAGGCGGUUCUUCAAGUCUCUCGUGAAAUCCCUCGGCUUAACUGAGGACGUGCGGGAGAUAGCUGAAGGCGUUGAGUCCGGAAGAGGGUGGUGGAAUUCCCAGUGUAGCGGUGAAAUGCGUAGAUAGUUGGGAGGAACACCGGUGGCGAAGGCGGCCACCUGGGCCGGAACUGGACGCUGAGGCGCGAAAGCGUGGGAGCAACGGG